Molecule: ribosomal RNA, 1488 nt
Filed under: metagenome
Description: bacterial SSU rRNA
Rfam family: Bacterial small subunit ribosomal RNA
Source: RNAcentral
AGAGUUUGAUCCUGGCUCAGGAUGAACGCUGGCGGCGUGCUUAACACAUGCAAGUCGAACGAAGCACUUUAUUUGAUUUCCUUCGGGACUGAUUAUUUUGUGACUGAGUGGCGGACGGGUGAGUAACGCGUGGGUAACCUGCCUUGUACAGGGGGAUAACAGUUGGAAACGGCUGCUAAUACCGCAUAAGCGCACAGCAUCGCAUGAUGCAGUGUGAAAAACUCCGGUGGUAUAAGAUGGACCCGCGUUGGAUUAGCUAGUUGGUGAGGUAACGGCCCACCAAGGCGACGAUCCAUAGCCGACCUGGGAGGGUGACCGGCCACAUUGGGACUGAGACACGGCCCAAACUCCUACGGGAGGCAGCAGUGGGGAAUAUUGCACAAUGGGCGAAAGCCUGAUGCAGCGACGCCGCGUGAGCGAAGAAGUAUUUCGGUAUGUAAAGCUCUAUCAGCAGGGAAGAUAAUGACGGUACCUGACUAAGAAGCACCGGCUAAAUACGUGCCAGCAGCCGCGGUAAUACGUAUGGUGCAAGCGUUAUCCGGAUUUACUGGGUGUAAAGGGAGCGCAGGCGGUGCGGCAAGUCUGAUGUGAAAGCCCGGGGCUCAACCCCGGUACUGCAUUGGAAACUGUCGUACUAGAGUGCCGGAGGGGUAAGCGGAAUUCCUAGUGUAGCGGUGAAAUGCGUAGAUAUUAGGAGGAACACCAGUGGCGAAGGCGGCUUGCUGGACGACAACUGACGCUGAGGCGCGAAAGCGUGGGGAGCAAACAGGAUUAGAUACCCUGGUAGUCCACGCUGUAAACGAUGAAUACUAGGUGUGGGGGGACUGACCCCCUCCGUGCCGCAGUUAACACAAUAAGUAUUCCACCUGGGGAGUACGACCGCAAGGUUGAAACUCAAAGGAAUUGACGGGGGCCCGCACAAGCAGUGGAUUAUGUGGUUUAAUUCGACGCAACGCGAAGAACCUUACCAGGACUUGACAUCCAACUAACGAAGUAGAGAUACAUCAGGUGCCCUUCGGGGAAAGUUGAGACAGGUGGUGCAUGGUUGUCGUCAGCUCGUGUCGUGAGAUGUUGGGUUAAGUCCCGCAACGAGCGCAACCCCUAUUGUUAGUUGCUACGAAAGAGCACUCUAGCGAGACUGCCGUUGACAAAACGGAGGAAGGCGGGGACGACGUCAAAUCAUCAUGCCCCUUAUGUCCUGGGCUACACAGGUAAUACAAUGGUGGCCAACAGAGGGAAGCGAAGCCGUGAGGCGGAGCAAAUCCCUAAAAGCCAUCUCAGUUCGGAUUGCAGGCUGCAACUCGCCUGCAUGAAGCUGGAAUUGCUAGUAAUCGCGGAUCAGCAUGCCGCGGUGAAUACGUUCCCGGGCCUUGUACACACCGCCCGUCACACCAUGAGAGUCGGGAACACCCGAAGUCCGUAGUCUAACCGCAAGGGGGGCGCGGCCGAAGGUGGGUCCGGUAAUUGGGGUGAAGUCGUAACAAGGUA